Non-coding RNA from Puma concolor (puma), 563 nucleotides. NCBI's taxonomy places the organism in Eukaryota, Metazoa, Chordata, Mammalia, Carnivora, Felidae. The record is from RefSeq and is a predicted model, not a curated record.
UCAGAGCCAGCACCCCCGAUCCCAGGCAGCUGUUCCAGUCCUCCAGAGGCUCGGCUCGCUACCCCUUGUAACGUUCUGUCCGUAGCCCAUGUUUGGGGCGGGGGGGGGGGGGGGGGGGGGGGGGGGGGGGGGGGGGGGGGGGGGCAGGAGUGGACGCAGAUCUCGGGAGGAGCACAUUCCCAUGUCUCUCCCCUGUGGUCUCUGGCUCUCCUCCCCCCGGAACCUCGGGAGACCCACAGUGCUCGGUGGCCCCCUGGAAGUGGACUGCCCAGGAACGGAGGAAGGUCGGGGGAUGAACAGAGGUGGCCCUGGAGCGGCCGGCAGGACAUCGGACCUUCCCAACGCGUCCCUCCCUGCCACUCUCUUCAUCGUCGAGGGCCCGUCCUUUCUCCCCAGCAAAGAGCAUCUGCGGGUUGCAUCUCCCAGGCCAGAGCGCAGAGGAGGCUUUGCUCUCCAGCCUCAAAUUACCACUCUCCUUAUGUCAAAUAUGACACAUUCUCCAAGCUAAUGACCUCUGCCCCCUCCUUAAUAAAACAACCCUCCACUUUCCUUGAGCAGGCAAA